GAUGAACGCUGGCGGCGUGCCUAAUACAUGCAAGUCGAGCGAAAAGACGAGGAGCUUGUUCCUCUGACGUUAGCGGAGGACGGGAGAGUAACACGUGGAUAACCUACUUAUAAGUGUGGGAUCACUUCGGGAAACGGGCGCUAAUCCCGGAUAAUCUCUUGAACCGCAUGGUUCAUUGGUGAAAGACGGUUUUGCGGUCUCUUCUCGCUGGAUCCGCGCCGCAUUAGCUGGUUUGUAAGGUCACGGCUUACCAAGGCAACUAUGCGUAGCCGAACUGAUAGGCGGAUAGGCGACACGGGAACUGAGACGCGGUCCAUACGCCUACGGGAGGCAGCAGUAGCGAAUCGGCCGCAGUAGGCGAAAGCUUGACGGAGCAACGCCGCGUGAGUGAUGAAGGCCUUCGGAGCGGAAAACUCUGUUAUGAGUGAAGAACAAAUGUGGAAGGAACUAAGCACGUCGUGACGGUACCGGGUCAGAAAGCCACGGCUAACUACGUG
RNAcentral lists this ribosomal RNA (497 nucleotides) under uncultured bacterium. RNAcentral's name for it is "partial 16S ribosomal RNA". It matches the Rfam family "Bacterial small subunit ribosomal RNA", at positions 28 to 507 of the family's 1533-position model. The record is from RNAcentral.